UGGGGAAUAUUGCACAAUGGGCGCAAGCCUGAUGCAGCCAUGCCGCGUGUGUGAAGAAGGCCUUCGGGUUGUAAAGCACUUUCAGCGGGGAGGAAGGCGUUAAGGUUAAUAACCUUGGCGAUUGACGUUACCCGCAGAAGAAGCACCGGCUAACUCCGUGCCAGCAGCCGCGGUAAUACGGAGGGUGCAAGCGUUAAUCGGAAUUACUGGGCGUAAAGCGCACGCAGGCGGUCUGUCAAGUCGGAUGUGAAAUCCCCGGGCUCAACCUGGGAACUGCAUUCGAAACUGGCAGGCUAGAGUCUUGUAGAGGGGGGUAGAAUUCCAGGUGUAGCGGUGAAAUGCGUAGAGAUCUGGAGGAAUACCGGUGGCGAAGGCGGCUCUCUGGUCUGUAACUGACGCUGAGGCUCGAAAGCGUGGGGAGCAAACAGG
This 429-nucleotide ribosomal RNA is filed under the name Chloroflexota bacterium. RNAcentral's name for it is "Chloroflexi bacterium partial 16S ribosomal RNA". It matches the Rfam family "Bacterial small subunit ribosomal RNA", at positions 355 to 776 of the family's 1533-position model. Lineage: Bacteria; Bacillati; Chloroflexota. The record is from RNAcentral.